RNAcentral lists this ribosomal RNA (696 nucleotides) under Pasteurellaceae bacterium I43. Its description in RNAcentral is "bacterial SSU rRNA". It matches the Rfam family "Bacterial small subunit ribosomal RNA", at positions 48 to 734 of the family's 1533-position model. The record is from RNAcentral. Lineage: Bacteria; Pseudomonadati; Pseudomonadota; Gammaproteobacteria; Pasteurellales; Pasteurellaceae.
CUUACACAUGCAACUCGAACGGUAGCCAAAGGAGCUUGCUCCUUGGGUGACGAGUGGCGGACGGGUGAGUAAUGCUUGGGAAUCUGGCUUAUGGAGGGGGAUAACUACUGGAAACGGUAGCUAAUACCGCGUAAUGUCUUAGGACUAAAGGGUGGGACCAUUUGGCCACCUGCCAUAAGAUGAGCCCAAGUGAGAUUAGGUAGUUGGUGAGGUAAAGGCUCACCAAGCCCGCGAUCUCUAGCUGGUCUGAGAGGAUGACCAGCCACACUGGAACUGAGACACGGUCCAGACUCCUACGGGAGGCAGCAGUGGGGAAUAUUGCACAAUGGGGGGAACCCUGAUGCAGCCAUGCCGCGUGAAUGAAGAAGGCCUUCGGGUUGUAAAGUUCUUUCGGUGACGAGGAAGGCAGUUUUGUUAAUAGCAAGAUUGAUUGACGUUAAUCACAGAAGAAGCACCGGCUAACUCCGUGCCAGCAGCCGCGGUAAUACGGGGGGUGCGAGCGUUAAUCGGAAUAACUGGGCGUAAAGGGCACGCAGGCGGUUGUUUAAGUGAGGUGUGAAAGCCCCGGGCUUAACCUGGGAAUUGCAUUUCAGACUGGACAACUAGAGUACUUUAGGGAGGGGUAGAAUUCCACGUGUAGCGGUGAAAUGCGUAGAGAUGUGGAGGAAUACCGAAGGCGAAGGCAGCCCCUUGGGA